UACGUAGGGACCAAGCGUUGUCCGGAAUCAUUGGGCGUAAAGAGCGUGUAGGCGGUCUGUCGCGUCGGAUGUGAAAAUCCAGGGCUCAACCCUGGACCUGCAUUCGAUACGGGCAGACUAGAGUUCGGUAGGGGGAGACUGGAAUUCCUGGUGUAGCGGUGAAAUGCGCAGAUAUCAGGAGGAACACCGGUGGCGAAGGCGGGUCUCUGGGCCGAAACUGACGCUGAGGAGCGAAAGCGUGGGGAGCGAACAGG
Molecule: ribosomal RNA, 254 nt
Filed under: uncultured bacterium
Lineage: Bacteria
Description: partial 16S ribosomal RNA
Rfam family: Bacterial small subunit ribosomal RNA
Source: RNAcentral